CAUUAAGUUGUCCAAGCUGGGCUUGAACUUGUGAUCCUCCUGCCUCAGCCUCCUGGGUAGCUGGGACGACAGGCCAAGAGCGACACAUGGUUAAGGAGUUUUCUCAUAGCUGUCACCAAUGGAAACAUCACACACAGCAGAUCCUGCUUUCAUGAGGGGAUGUUGAUCAUGCCCAUGAAAGAGAAGAAGAAAUGGGUUCCCCAGUCAGAUAGAACAGAGACCACAGAGCUGCCUCUCAGACCCAUCCGUGACAUGUGAAAUGAAUAAGAUCACCCUUCCAAGGCUGUGGCAAAGACUCAGUGGAACAAACACCUGUCCAGAGCUCAGCACCUAGCAGUUAACUAUGAUUCAUUCCAAGAGCUGGUGAGAUUAUUACACACUGGCUCCUGCCAUGUUGCUUAAUAAAAGCACAUUAGCAUUGUGCUUGAUUCCUGCUCUUA
This is a long non-coding RNA of Chinchilla lanigera (long-tailed chinchilla), 440 nucleotides long. RefSeq lists it as uncharacterized. The transcript has 2 exons. The record is from RefSeq and is a predicted model, not a curated record. NCBI's taxonomy places the organism in Eukaryota, Metazoa, Chordata, Mammalia, Rodentia, Chinchillidae.